Molecule: long non-coding RNA, 257 nt
Filed under: Diabrotica virgifera virgifera (western corn rootworm)
Lineage: Eukaryota; Metazoa; Arthropoda; Insecta; Coleoptera; Chrysomelidae
Description: uncharacterized LOC126892885
Source: RNAcentral
UCCGUCCGUCAGUCCUGAACGAGUGAACGACCGUUCUGGGCUCCAUAACCAGCCAAGCGAAGUGAGCGAGGCAGGCCGACCUGAGUCGCGACGUGCACCGUAUUGACGUGAUUCGUAAACUUAGCCAGGCCAACUCGACACGCAAGGUGUACCGAAGUGAGACGCCCAUCCGGAGGAGGACUUCGCUGGGACGAAAUAGAAUAUUGAAUUAUUAUUUUGUACAUAAUUUAGAAUUAAUAGAUUUGCUUUGUUUUCAA